This is a long non-coding RNA of Carya illinoinensis, 844 nucleotides long. RefSeq lists it as uncharacterized. Lineage: Eukaryota; Viridiplantae; Streptophyta; Magnoliopsida; Fagales; Juglandaceae. The record is from RefSeq and is a predicted model, not a curated record. The transcript has 5 exons.
UUUAAAGGUAUUUUAAAUGAAAAAAAAAAAAUCAGAUCCAAAUUUGGAUCCGAGUCGGUGGGUGUAGAGCCCAUAAAAAUUUCGUGUUACCCGCCUCUUUCUGUGCUUCGUCGGUUCCUCGAUCUUUCCCCACUUUUCUUCGACUUCAGUGACUCGGAAUCCGAAUUAGGGUUUAGCUCGAAUUACUUGGAGACUGAAGAAUUCAAUUGCGGUGUUGGGCUAAUCUAUAAAUUAUCUGAAGAAUUUCGUUUUUUUUUUUUAAUCCAUGGCACACACCAGCGACGAUAUAAGUUCAAGUCCCUUACUAUAACUUUCUAAAGCGUUAAAUUUUUUUUUUCUUUUUUUUUUUCCAAUUUGUAUUGUUUUCUUCCUUUUUGGUUGGGGGAAGGGUUGACCUUAAUGUGUUGUUUUUUGCCCGCAAUUGUUUGUGCAGGUUGUAGGGGUUGAUAAUACUUUCAAAAGAAAGUUUGAUUGGGAAGAGUAUUUGGAACAAGCCAGGGAGUGUGAAAGACAGGAGGCGGACGCGCGGGUUAAAUCAAAAUUACUGGUUUUGUGGGCGUUAUACUCGUGUGAGUAUCAUGUUGGGAGUUUUUUGCUUCAAAGAACCCAAUGUAGUGAGUUCUAGACUGAUGGGUGAAGAAUUAUUGUUAUUGAUUAGUUGUGUCGUAGCGAGAGGUCCUCCAGUGCAAAAGAAGCCCUUGAAACAUAGGGAUUUUGAAGGGGAUCUUGAAUCUCGCUUUGGAAAAACUCAGGUUGUUACUCCAGUGGCACCUUUAAGUCAGUAGAUUAUGGAUUGGAAAGAGUAACAGUUGAGAUCCAAGACGAUACCUCUAGUAAAGGUGGC